RNAcentral lists this small RNA (30 nucleotides) under Bombyx mori (domestic silkworm). RNAcentral's name for it is "ovarian small RNA-36492". The record is from RNAcentral. Lineage: Eukaryota; Metazoa; Arthropoda; Insecta; Lepidoptera; Bombycidae.
UUACCUCCUCGAAAGAUGGGUCACCCUCGA